ACGUACAUGUGCAACCACCUGACUAGCCUAUUAUAAUUCCAUUGCAGCUGGCGAGGGCCAGGGGAAAUCUGAUCAACAAAAUGGACACCUGCAGUGGAUCUAAAUUAAUUCUCCAAACUACAGGUACAUGCGUAAUAUGCUAAACCGUGUGAGUAAACUAAGUCAGUGCUGCGUGAAUAAGUGAAUUAAACAUUUCCUAAACUAGUUAAUGGCUGAUGCUGACCCACACCUUUACAGUUGGACAGAACAAGGGAGAGCUCCACCAGCCCUCACGAGGACCGAGAAGAAUUUCACACUAAUCUAAUGUCCUCACCACAUCACUCAUUUGGGCAGCUCUACCUGACAUGUAGUAGCUACAUUUUCUCAUCCUGAUUCCAGACUUGUGGCAGAUGAAAACAACACUGAAUGCCGGAGGAGCCGACAAACUCCCGAAACACCUCCUGACUGCUGAUAAACACACUGAGG
Perca flavescens (yellow perch) is the source of this 465-nucleotide long non-coding RNA. RefSeq lists it as uncharacterized. The record is from RefSeq and is a predicted model, not a curated record. The transcript is spliced from 3 exons. Lineage: Eukaryota; Metazoa; Chordata; Actinopteri; Perciformes; Percidae.